UACGUAGGUGGCAAGCGUUGUCCGGAAUUAUUGGGCGUAAAGCGCGCGCAGGCGGUCCCUUAAGCCUGAUGUGAAAGCCCACGGCUCAACCGUGGAGGGUCAUUGGAAACUGGGGGACUUGAGUACAGAAGAGGAAAGCGGAAUUCCACGUGUAGCGGUGAAAUGCGUAGAGAUGUGGAGGAACACCAGUGGCGAAGGCGGCUUUCUGGUCUGUAACUGACGCUGAGGCGCGAAAGCGUGGGGAGCAAACAGG
Molecule: ribosomal RNA, 253 nt
Filed under: uncultured bacterium
Lineage: Bacteria
Description: partial 16S ribosomal RNA
Rfam family: Bacterial small subunit ribosomal RNA
Source: RNAcentral